Molecule: ribosomal RNA, 253 nt
Filed under: uncultured bacterium
Lineage: Bacteria
Description: partial 16S ribosomal RNA
Rfam family: Bacterial small subunit ribosomal RNA
Source: RNAcentral
UACGAAGGGGGCUAGCGUUGUUCGGAUUUACUGGGCGUAAAGCGCACGUAGGCGGAUUGUUAAGUCAGGGGUGAAAUCCCAAGGCUCAACCUUGGAACUGCCCUUGAUACUGGGGAUCUCGAGUCCGGAAGAGGUUGGUGGAACUCCGAGUGUAGAGGUGAAAUUCGUAGAUAUUCGGAAGAACACCAGUGGCGAAGGCGGCCAACUGGUCCGGCACUGACGCUGAGGUGCGAAAGCGUGGGGAGCAAACAGG